UCAAGAUAAGUAUUCUAAAAGGAAGCUUCGAGAAUAGGAGCUAGAUAGGUUGGGGGUGUACGCGCAGUAAUGUGUUUAGCUGACCAAUACUAAUCGAACGAAAUUUUAAUCA
RNAcentral lists this ribosomal RNA (112 nucleotides) under Fusobacterium necrophorum DJ-2. RNAcentral describes it as "partial 23S ribosomal RNA". It matches the Rfam family "Bacterial large subunit ribosomal RNA", at positions 2799 to 2925 of the family's 2925-position model. Lineage: Bacteria; Fusobacteriati; Fusobacteriota; Fusobacteriia; Fusobacteriales; Fusobacteriaceae. The record is from RNAcentral.